UUGGCUCAGUUGGAUAGAGCAACUGCCUUCUAAGCAGUGGGUCACAGGUUCGAAUCCUGUA
RNAcentral lists this transfer RNA (61 nucleotides) under human gut metagenome. It matches the Rfam family "tRNA", at positions 7 to 64 of the family's 71-position model. Rfam says of the family: Transfer RNA (tRNA) molecules are approximately 80 nucleotides in length. Their secondary structure includes four short double-helical elements and three loops (D, anti-codon, and T loops). The record is from RNAcentral.